Cajanus cajan (pigeon pea) is the source of this 626-nucleotide non-coding RNA. The record is from RefSeq and is a predicted model, not a curated record. NCBI's taxonomy places the organism in Eukaryota, Viridiplantae, Streptophyta, Magnoliopsida, Fabales, Fabaceae.
AUAUAUAUAUAUAUAUAUUUUGUAGGAGUGCACAUGUUAUUAUUCUUCAAAUAGGUUAAACAUUGAUAUUUAUUUACAUUAAAACAGCUUGUAAUUGAUGGAAAUACUGUUAUGUUAGGAUCAGAAGUGCCAGCAAUACACUCUUUUUAACACACUCCCUCUCAUUGGUUAGAAUUUAUUGAAAAUUACGAAAUUAGGGAAGAAACUCAUUAAAUAGGGAUUGGGGGACGUAAUUCUAUGUUCUAACUGGACAUAGUGGUGAUGAUGGCAGAUAAAUAUGAGCUACUGUAUUGUCUCAGAUAUGGUGUUGUGCCUGCUUAUGGGUAACCUGAAACGCCUCCAGGAUGCCAAACUGGUGUGUCUUUCUAAAGUCACUGUCAAAGGAUUGGAACUUGCCCUUAGAGCUUGCUGUGGUCGUAUUAAAAAGGUUAAACUUAAGAGGUCCCUCAGGUUCUUGCUUUCCUCAGAAAUGCUCGAGGCAAUGAAUGCACGGGGUUGCAAGAUCAGAUGGGAUUAGCCUAUAGCCACGCUAUCAAUCUGUUAUACUUUCUUUUCUUGGAAGCAAUGCUGCUUCAUUAAGAUCUUUUUUGAUUCGAAAAUUUAAAUUUCAGUUGCAUUUUCUUUUC